This 208-nucleotide unclassified non-coding RNA is filed under the name uncultured fungus. Its description in RNAcentral is "sequence contains ITS1". Lineage: Eukaryota; Fungi. The record is from RNAcentral.
GUAUAUAGUAGUGCUUGUGCACAACAAGAGUUUCAUUACAUUCGAGUUUGUGUAAAAUCCUCUGCCGGCCGAAGCUAGCAGAGGCCAAAGGUUCACAGGGUAUUGGAUGAAAGUCACCGACGUGCACUUGCCAAAGCCGAAGCCGGCCAGCACUGAAGGCAACCAUUCGCAAUCAUUAAUGAUCCUUCCGCAGGUUCACCUACGGAAA